GCCGAGGUGGCGGAAUUGGCAGACGCGCACGUUUGAGGGGCGUGUGCCGCAAGGCAUACGGGUUCAAGUCCCGUCCUCGGCACCA
This 85-nucleotide transfer RNA is filed under the name Armatimonadota bacterium. RNAcentral describes it as "Armatimonadetes bacterium tRNA-Leu". It matches the Rfam family "tRNA". From Rfam's summary of the family: Transfer RNA (tRNA) molecules are approximately 80 nucleotides in length. Their secondary structure includes four short double-helical elements and three loops (D, anti-codon, and T loops). RNAcentral also lists the same sequence under 1 other name. The record is from RNAcentral. Lineage: Bacteria; Bacillati; Armatimonadota.